CCUGUGGUCUGGGCCGUGGCCCUGGGUCCAGCUGUGGACGGGCUGUGGCCUGGCGUCUGCUCUGUGGCCUGUGGUCUGGGCCGUGGCCCUGGGUCCAGCUGUGGACGGGCUGUGGCCUGGCGUCUGCUCUGUGGCCUGUGGUCUGGGCCGUGGCCCUGGGUCCAGCUGUGGACGGGCUGUGGCCUGGCGUCUGCUCUGUGGCCUGUGGUCUGGGCCGUGGCCCUGGGUCCAGCUGUGGACGGGCUGUGGCCUGGCGUCUGCUCUGUGGCCAGGGGUCUGGGCUGGGUGCAGGGGUGGGUGCAGGUGGGUACAGGGGCUCACCAUGACUCCCCGCAGGUGAGUGACGGCAGGUGGCUGCAGGCGCCGGCCCAGCCAGUGGACACGGCAGAGCACGCCCGGCCUCACCAUGUCCAGGAAGGGCACCGUCGGCCGUGCCAAGGGGGACAAGCCAGACACACUGAGCGCGCUGCAGGCCGCCAACGAGGAGUUGCGCGCCAAGCUGACCGACGUCCAGAUCGAGCUGCAGCAGGAGAGGAGCAAGGUGAGCCGCGUGGAGCGCGAGAAGGCGCAGGAGCUGCGGCAGGUGCGGGAGCAGGAGCAGCACCGCGCGGCCGUGCUGCUGACCGAGCUGCGCGCGCGGCUGCACGAGGACAAGCUGCGGGAGCUGCAGGCGGCGCGGGAGGCGCUGCAGCGGCAGCACGAGGCCGAGCUGCUGCGCGUGGUGCGGGCCAAGGACGGCGAGAGGCAGCGGCUGCAGGCGCGGCUGCGGGCGCCGCGGGGCGCGGGGACGCGGGGGGCCGAGGCCCGCGACGAGGCGCGCAGGGGCUUCGAGCCCGAGCGGGCGCGGCUGCAGCAGGAGAUCGCGGAGCUGCGGGGCGCCAAGCGCCAGGCCGAGGAGGCGCUGUCGGCGGCCGCCCGCAACGACCGGGCCAAGGCGGCCGAGAUGCGCAGCGUGUGCCACCUGCACCAGGAGGAGCUGACGCGCAUCCGCAAGGAGUGUGAGCGCGACAUCCGCCGGCUGAUGGAGGAGAUAAAGUUUAAAGACAGAGCACUCUUCGUGCUGGAGAGGGAGUUAGGGCUGCAAGCCGGCCAUGCUCACAGGCUGCAGCUCCAGAAGGAGGCUCUGGACCAGCAGCUGGCCCAGGCCCGAGGGGCCGAGCGCCACCCAGGCAGCCCCAGGCGGGAGCCCCCCCUCGCGGGCGGUGCAGGAGAUGCUCAGGACCACCCGGGAAACCCCCAGCUGGACGAGAAGGAUGCCCGACGCUUCCAGCUGAAGAUCGCCGAGCUCAGCGCCAUCAUCCGGAAGCUGGAGGACCGGAACGCGCUGCUGUCAGAGGAGAGGAAUGAGCAGCUCAAGCGUCUGCGAGAGGCCGAGAGCCAGUACCGGCCACUGCUGGAGAGAAACAAGCGGUUGGUGCGAAAGAACGAGAGUCUGGCUCACACCCUGCGGCGGCUGCAGGGCCAGCUCAGGUUCCUGACGCAGGAGAACCUCGAGAUGAAGCAGAAGUCUGGUGUCAUCCGGAGGCCCAGCUCCCUCAAUGACCUGGACCAGAGUCGGGAGGACAGAGACGUGGACUUCCUCAAGGUGCAGAUCCUGGAGCAGCAAAGCCUCAUUGAUGAGCUGUCCAAGACUCUCGAGACGGCCGGUUACGUCAAGAGUGUGCUGGAGAGAGACAAGCUUCUGAGGCUCCGGAAGCAAAGAAAGAAAAUGGCAAAGUUGCCCAAGCCUGUGGUGGUCGAGACCUUUGGCUACGACGAGGAAACCUCCCUGGAGUCGGAUGCCUCCUCCAUCUCCUACCAGACGGACAGGACUGACCAGACUCCCUGCACCCCCGAGGACAACCUGGAAGAGGGCGCGGCCAGGGAGGAGGCAGAGCUGCGUUUCCGGCAGCUGACCAUGGAGUACCAGGCGCUGCAGAGGGCCUACGCCUUGCUGCAGGAGCAGGUCGGCGGGACGCUGGACGCUGAGCGAGAAAUCAAGACGCGGGAGCAGCUGCAGGCCGAAGUGCAGAGGGCACGGAGCCACAUGGAGGACCUGGAGAGGACGCUGGCAGAGCAGGGCCAGGACGUGAAGUGGAUUGAGGAGAAGCAGGCCCUGUUCAGAAGGAACCAGGAGCUGGUGGACAAGAUCAAGCAGAUGCAGGAGGAGGAGGCGCGGCUGAGGCGCGAGGUGCAGGACGCCAGGGACCAGAACGAGCUGCUGGAGUUCCGGGUCCUAGAGCUGGAGGAGAGGGAGCGGAAGUCCCCGGCCAUCGGCCUCUGCCACACGGCCUUUCUGGACGGCAGAAGCCCACUGCAGGCCUGCUGCGAGGCCGAGGGCAUGACGGACAUCCAGGUCCCCGAGUUGAUGAAGAGGCUGGAUGUCCUGGGGGACAAUGCCGUAAGUAACCUGACCAACGAGGAACAAGUGACCAUCAUACAGGCCAGGACCGUGCUGACCUUGGCCGAGAAGUGGCUGCAGCAGAUUGAAAGCAUGGAGGCAGCUGUGCAGCAGAAGAUGGUGGACCUGGAGAGCGAGAAGGAGCUGUUCAGAAGGCAGAAGGGCUACCUGGAUGAGGAAUUGGACUUCCGGAAGCAGAGCCUGGACCAGGCACACAGGCGGGUCCUGGAGCUGGAGGCCAUGCUGUGGGACGUGCUGCAGCAGGAGGCCGGGGCCAAGAUGGCUGAGCUGCUGUCUGAUGAGGAGCGAGACAAGCUGAGCCUGGCCAUGGAGCAGUGGAAGCGCCAGGUCAUGAGUGAGCUGCGGGAGCGGGACGCACAGAUCCUGCGGGAGCGCAUGGAGCUGCUGCAGGGGGCCCAGCAGAGAGUCAAGGAGCUGGAGGAGAGAACCGAGGCUCAGAAGAGGCAGAUCAAGGAGCUGGAGGAGAAGCUUUCAUCCUGUGGUCAUAGCUCUCCUGGGUGCCUGCUGGGUGAGUGCUUCAGGAGACGGGCCCUGCUGCUUCCUGAGGGGCCUACCUCAGGACCCUGCCGCUGGGUGCCAAGUGGGGCCCCAGGGGCGACACCCAGGACUCCUGGGACAGUCCCAGCCCUAGACCCAGUCAGACCGGAGGAUUCUGCCCCCAGAGGGGUGCCGGGCGUCCCUGCAGACACGAGUCUGAGGCCCCCAGGACUGGCCCGGACAUGCAGUGCACAGAAGCAGACCCCCCACUCCCAGCCUUUGCUUUGGGGCGUCUGGGUUGAGGCGCCAGGAGAUGGGGGGCAUGUUUAAUGGACAGAGAGGCUGGAGCUGCAGCUCACCCCAGGGACCUGGCCUGGAACCUCACAUCUGCAAGCCCUGUGGAGCCACACCCCUCCCUCCAGCUCGCCCGUGAAGUGGGGUUCAGAGCGCGACGCCCCAGGACCCAAGAUGUGGUGCGGCUACAGCCCCUCCUUACCCCCAAGGGGGGCGGGUGCUGUGACCCCUCUGAG
This is an RNA transcript of Erinaceus europaeus (western European hedgehog), 3408 nucleotides long. It is a transcript of the gene named Janus kinase and microtubule interacting protein 3, with no coding region annotated. NCBI's taxonomy places the organism in Eukaryota, Metazoa, Chordata, Mammalia, Eulipotyphla, Erinaceidae. The transcript has 22 exons. The record is from RefSeq and is a predicted model, not a curated record.